UGGGGAAUAUUGGACAAUGGGGGGAACCCUGAUCCAGCAAUGCCGCGUGUGUGAAGAAGGCCUGCGGGUUGUAAAGCACUUUAGUUGGGGAGGAAAUGUAUGUACUGCAUAAGUGCAUGCUGUGACGUUACCCAAAGAAUAAGCACCGGCAAACUCUGUGCCAGCAGGAGCGGUAAUACAGAGGCCCCGAGCGUUAUCCGGAAUCAUUGGGCGUAAAGGAUUUGUAGGUGGCUUGAUUAGUCUCUUGUUAAAGCACCGGGCUCAACCCGGGACAGGCAAGGGAAACGGUCAGGCUAGAGGAUGGCAGAGGUGUGUGGAACUAAAGGUGUAGGGGUGAAAUCCGUUGAUAUCUUUGGGAACACCAAAAGCGAAGGCAGCACACUGGGCCAUUCCUGACACUGAAAAAUGAAACCCUGGGUAGCGAAUGGGAUUAGAUACCCAUGUAGUCCCUGAGCGGGCUGGCAAGGCGCAU
Molecule: ribosomal RNA, 472 nt
Filed under: uncultured bacterium
Lineage: Bacteria
Description: bacterial SSU rRNA
Rfam family: Bacterial small subunit ribosomal RNA
Source: RNAcentral